GCUUUGUCUGGCCCGCACUUCAGGUUGAGGAAACCAGAGAAAGCAAUUCGGAAGGCGCACAAAACAAACGAACAAACAAACAAACAAAUAAAUAAAAACGAAACAAAACCAAAAAAUCCUGCAGUAAGCGAGGCGAGAAAGCGCAGCCAUCCUCCCGCUAUCGCUUGUGCAGCAGCACCACCCCGUGCCCGGCACGGGCGGAGCGGCUGCGGCGCGGCCCGGCCCGCACAGGAGGGGCUGAGCGCCCGCUGCGUGAGCCAGCAGCGAAGCAAACGCGAUUAACAGCGUCACUGAGCCCAGGAGGUGAAACGUUUCGUUAGGAGCCGGGAAAGCAACAUCGGUAGAAACGAACUACAAGCCGCUGACAGUACCAACCGGAGAGCAUGAGCUAGCAGCUGCGUAGUGCUGAGCUGCCUGCCUGCUCGGUGUUCAACCAAACCACCACUGAAAGGGCUCAUUUCGGAGGAGAAAGGUACUGUUUUUGAUGAAAGCAACCGGGAGCAGGCUGCACGUUCUGCACCAGUCACCUCACCUCCCUUUUAAUGCCAAAAGGAGGAAGAUAAGUGCCUGCAUUUCAGCAUUUCUAUUAGCAGCGUCAGCAGAGAAACCCAUAUUUGACUUACUUAAGAACUGAUGUCAUCUCAUUUCUUCAGAUUCAGUCGUCCUCCAAUUUGAAAACAAGGUAGAGUUCACCUCUUCUCCCUGAAGUGUCAGGGGAAUGGGAAGAAAGCACCAGCUUUGAACACUGCCCAGGUGGACUUCUAAAGGAGACAGAAAUACCUACACAGAAUGCAAAAGUUGUCAUUCACACUCUUCAGUGUAAUGCCCCACUCACCAAUGCACUGAAUGUAUUCUGCUGAUCUGUGACUUCUAAAUGCUUUGUACGUUAAAUCAGGAAGCAGAAAAAAAUGUUAUUGGUUAUAACCUUUCACUUGUAGUGUUGCCUUCUUCAUAAAUUACUGUUUUUAAGAUGGGUUUUAGAGUAAAUAAGUGUCAAAGGAUUUCCUUACAGUUGUCAUAAAUGAGCAAUAGAAUAAAGAAGCAAUGAUACGAACAGCACCAAAGUGGGAGACUGAGUGAUAAAGGCCCACAAAAUCCUGUUUAAUUCUUAAAAUUAGCUCCAUGCUCAGCACGUGUCCUUUUUGCUAUUUUUAGAUUUAAUGGCUUCAACCAGAAUAUUUUAUCUAAAUGGCUGAAUUGUAUAUUUGACAAGUAAUUAAGCAGCUCAGUUUACUUAACAAGCAUUUAUCAUGAAGAAAAAUAUUUUUAUAUGCAUCAACAAAAAAGGAAGAAAAAAGUCAAAUGAACAAGAUAGCAAAUUCGACACAUAAAGAAUUGUCCAAUGCUGUGAUGAAAAGAGAAGAACCUUUUUGUGGGGGGAAGAGAUAAAGGAGGGACAGUGGGCUCUUCAGCAACAAAGAAUAAAAUCCAACUUCUUAAAUUUGCUUCAAAAUAGAAUUUCACAGGUAAGUAGUAGAAUCAACCCUCUUAUGUGAUAAUUGGCUCUUGAAUUAACCAAAAGAUUGAUAGGACUAUCAACUUCUCAGCACUUCAAAACAUGUCAGAAACUGAACACAAAUUUUCAAGAAUCAAAAUCAGAAGAUGUUCAGAAGAUGUAGAAGCAAAAAACAAACACACCUAUGAUUAACAAUUGACAUAGAGUACUUAAUUCACAGGCAGUUGCAGUUCAAAGUUAUCUUCCAGUUGCAGUGUAUUGAACAUCUAUAUUUUGUAUUCCUGAAGGGAAGUUAUAUAGCAAAUACUGAAAACAUAACUCAAUAAACUGUUUUUCCAUGUAGUUUGA
Numida meleagris (helmeted guineafowl) is the source of this 1804-nucleotide long non-coding RNA. RefSeq lists it as uncharacterized. Lineage: Eukaryota; Metazoa; Chordata; Aves; Galliformes; Numididae. The transcript is spliced from 2 exons. The record is from RefSeq and is a predicted model, not a curated record.